This 483-nucleotide long non-coding RNA is filed under the name Equus asinus (donkey). RNAcentral describes it as "lncRNA (ENSEASG00005034269.1, ENSEASG00020035263.1)". Lineage: Eukaryota; Metazoa; Chordata; Mammalia; Perissodactyla; Equidae. The record is from RNAcentral.
CUAAAAUCUGUGACACAUCCUCUUCCGUGUCCUUCCCCUUUCACUGUGGGAUACAAAUGGGCACAAGGUCCCGGGGACGAUAGAGCCACACCCAGAAGAAGCCUGACUUCCCAAAUGAUUUUGUAGAGGGGAACUGCCCUGCUGACUAGAACCAACGUGGACUAUUUCUCCAACAGGAGAAAAGAAAGAAAUUUAACCUGUCCUCACUAAUGCAGUGAAGAAAUGGGCAAUGAGAACACUCUGCCAAGUGAAGGUGGCUGACAUUUGGGGAGAAACCUGCUCACCCUGAGAAUCACCUUGGAAUUACUGAAGGUACCAGUAUUAGCUCCAGUUCACACUUGAGGAAACGGGUACGGAGAGGUUAAGUAACUCGCCUAGGUAACGCCGUUACAAGAGAAGCAGCACUCGAAACCUCAGAGCCCGCACUCCCAAGCUUUCUACUGGGCAGAGAAAUGAGAAGAAAAGCAGAACACUCUUGUGAUU